CUGGCGGCGUGCCUAAUACAAUGCAAGUCGAACGGUCUUUCUAUGGAAGCUUGCUUCCACUGAGAAGAGGUAGUGGCGAACGGGUGAGUAACAACGUGGGUAACCUGCCCAUAAGAGGGGGAGUAACAUCCGGAAACGGGUGGCUAAUACCGCAUAGUUUUCUUGAUCGCAUGAUUGAGAAAGGAAAGACGGCCUUUGUGCUGUCGCUUAUGGAUGGACCCGCGGCGUAUUAGUUAGUUGGUGAGGUAACGGCUCACCAAGACGAUGAUACGUAGCCGACCUGAGAGGGUGAUCGGCCACAUUGGGACUGAGACACGGCCCAAACUCCUACGGGAGGCAGCAGUAGGGAAUCUUCCGCAAUGGACGAAAGUCUGACGGAGCAACGCCGCGUGAGUGAAAGAAGGUUUUCGGAUCGUAAAACUCUGUUGUCAGAGAAGAACAAGUUGGAGAGUAACUGCUCCAGCCUUGACGGUAUCUGACCAGAAAGCCACGGCUAACUACGUGCCAGCCGCGGC
This 515-nucleotide ribosomal RNA is filed under the name uncultured bacterium. Its description in RNAcentral is "bacterial SSU rRNA". It matches the Rfam family "Bacterial small subunit ribosomal RNA", at positions 36 to 518 of the family's 1533-position model. The record is from RNAcentral.